GCCCACCCUCUUCACUUCCAGCACUCUCAUGGAGAAGAUUCCAGUCUUCCCCCCUGUGUUGUAGAUUGCCGGCUGUGAAAAAUAACAAAAACAAGAGCGCUAUGCACCAGCUGCAAUACAAAAAUCCUCAAGGAAAGCAGGAACUGAGGGUCCAUCAUUUCACUCGGACCAGUGAGAGACACAUGAAGACCUAAUCGAACUGACGAAAGAAAAGACAAUAAGGGAUGUCAACAACUGAACCACAACAAACAACUGGAGGAGGAUUAACUAUCAAGGAUGUGGUUUCACUGGGAGUCAAACUCAGGACUCUCUGCUUCCGUGAAAGGCGUGCUCACCGCUACACUAUGGAACCCAUUUUUCUCAUCUAUUCCCCCAUCUUUUUUUUUAAAUGUUCAACAUAUCUUUGCAAGUUGCAUUGUUCCAAAAAUAGUUGGACGAAGUAGGCUUUUUUUGAUGACGUUUCACUUCUCAACCAAGAGGCUUCAUCAGUUCCUCUUGGAUGAGAAACGUCUUUUAAAAAAAAAACCCUACUUCGUCCAGUUGCCCUCGAUGUAACUAUUUUUGGAUUAAAUGACCUGGAUGACUGAGAACCACCACAGACAAUAGUCGUUGUUAUUUACAUGACACCACUGAGACUACAGACAUAACCAGUAACACACAGUUCCACUGACAGAGCUGUAAAAGUGCAGCUGUGCUCCUUCAGGUUUGACAUUUGGACGAACCUGAAAAAACUACAACUCAUCCUGUAACUGUGGACAUUCUUUUGGACUUACCAGAUGAUAUGUACUGAAUUUUAGACACAAAGGUGUGAUGACACCGACAACUAAAAUACGGUUCCAAUACUCUUCCAUUUCAGCUCUUUUAUUGAUAUUUUCACUUUUAUCAUUUUGCUGUGCCCUGAGGAGGUCAGUAAGGAAAGAUUUGUGAGUAU
This is a long non-coding RNA of Cynoglossus semilaevis (tongue sole), 931 nucleotides long. RefSeq lists it as uncharacterized. The record is from RefSeq and is a predicted model, not a curated record. Lineage: Eukaryota; Metazoa; Chordata; Actinopteri; Pleuronectiformes; Cynoglossidae. The transcript is spliced from 3 exons.